This 660-nucleotide ribosomal RNA is filed under the name Salmonella enterica. Its description in RNAcentral is "partial 23S ribosomal RNA". It matches the Rfam family "Bacterial large subunit ribosomal RNA", at positions 568 to 1194 of the family's 2925-position model. Lineage: Bacteria; Pseudomonadati; Pseudomonadota; Gammaproteobacteria; Enterobacterales; Enterobacteriaceae. The record is from RNAcentral.
GGUUAACGGAGCGCAAGCGACGUUCAACCGCAAAAGAAGCAGAGGGGGCUUAGUGGUGGGGUGACUGCGUACCUUUUGUAUAAUGGGUCAGCGACUUAUAUUCUGUAGCAAGGUUAACCGAAUAGGGGAGCCGGAGGGAAACCGAGUCUUAAUUGGGCGUUAAGUUGCAGGGUAUAGACCCGAAACCCGGUGAUCUAGCCAUGGGCAGGUUGAAGGUUGGGUAACACUAACUGGAGGACCGAACCGACUAAUGUUGAAAAAUUAGCGGAUGACCUGUGGCUGGGGGUGAAAGGCCAAUCAAACCGGGAGAUAGCUGGUUCUCCCCGAAAGCUAUUUAGGUAGCGCCUCGUGAAUUCAUCUCCGGGGGUAGAGCACUGUUUCGGCUAGGGGGCCAUCCCGGCUUACCAACCCGAUGCAAACUGCGAAUACCGGAGAAUGUUAUCACGGGAGACACACGGCGGGUGCUAACGUCCGUCGUGAAGAGGGAAACAACCCAGACCGCCAGCUAAGGUCCCAAAGUCAUGGUUAAGUGGGAAACGAUGUGGGAAGGCCCAGACAGCCAGGAUGUUGGCUUAGAAGCAGCCAUCAUUUAAAGAAAGCGUAAUAGCUCACUGGUCGAGUCGGCCUGCGCGGAAGAUGUAACGGGGCUAAACCAUGCAC